RNAcentral lists this ribosomal RNA (292 nucleotides) under uncultured Planctomycetota bacterium. Its description in RNAcentral is "uncultured planctomycete partial 16S ribosomal RNA". Lineage: Bacteria; Pseudomonadati; Planctomycetota. The record is from RNAcentral.
GGACUACCCGGGUAUCUAAUCCCGUUUGCUCCCCUGGCUUUCGCGCCUCAGCGUCAGGUGAGGUCCAGCAGGGCGCUUUCGCCACCGGCGUUCCUUCCGAUAUCAACGCAUUUCACCGCUCCACCGGAAGUUCCCCCUGCCCCUACCUCGCUCGAGCCCGCCAGUAUCUCGGGCACUUUUCCGGUUGGGCCGAAAGAUUUCACCCGAGACUUGGCGAGCCGCCUACGCGCCCUUUAAGCCCAGUGAUUCCGAACAACGUUCGCACGGUUCGUCUUACCGCGGCUGCUGGCAC